AGUUGGACUUCACGUCUAUCAACACAGCAUCACUUUGAACAGCCAGCCACGGCGAGUCUGCACGUGAGCAACACCUGCAUGUGUGCACAGCUGUAGGGUCCAGAUGAGAUGGCCUGAGUAACUCAAAUCUGGGACUGCAGCUACAGUAACGGGUUAAGAAGAAGACGAAUCGCUGGAGCCGGCAUGUUGUCCAGAGCUGAUUGUCAAAAAUGAGUCUGAAGAGAGUUUAGAUCAACCACACCCACACAGCAUCCAUUACUGCACCCAAAACGACCCAUCCAUCUCUGUCAGCUUAUCUCAUUUUCCUACACUUCAACCCCCCACCCACCACCUCCUUACUGUCAGGACCCAGCUCAAACAAACACCAGUGAUCCAGGCAGCAGUGAAAAGAACAAGGGUGACAACACAAGCUGUCUCUGAGCACAGGAGGGACUCUGACUCACCGCGGGGCUUGACAGACCGACAGCCGCCUUUAACUCGCACACAUGGACCGUUGAUGACGGAAGAUGGCAGCGAGACUGGCAGGUGUCACCACGUCCAGUCGACCUCCUUCUGUCCCCGCAGCAGCGGCCGUGGCUCGGACAGGUUAAAGUUGGUCUGCCGGCAUCCAUUGCAGCAUCUGCAGCAGCUGGAAGAGCGUGGCAGGGAGCAGUAUGCAGGAAACCGAUCUACCGGCCACAAAUGCCUUCAAAGAGUGCAAGUUCUACUGCACCAAUGGAAACUGCUUACGUCUGGGCUCGCUGAUCUGCAACCAGCUGAAUAACUGUGGGGACAACAGUGAUGAGGAGAACUGCCCUGUGGUCACCCAGCAUCCUCCACCAGGCAUCUUCAGCUGUAAGUGGAGCAGCUUGCUGCUGCUGCUGCUGCUGCUGCUGCUGCUGC
Austrofundulus limnaeus is the source of this 882-nucleotide long non-coding RNA. RefSeq lists it as uncharacterized. The record is from RefSeq and is a predicted model, not a curated record. NCBI's taxonomy places the organism in Eukaryota, Metazoa, Chordata, Actinopteri, Cyprinodontiformes, Rivulidae. The transcript has 3 exons.